CCGAGUUUACAACUCCCAAAACCCAAUGUGAACCAUACCAAACUGUUGCCUCGGCGGGGUCACGCCCCGGGUGCGUCGCAGCCCCGGAAACCAGGCGCCCGCCGGAGGGACCAACCAAACUCUUUUCUGUAGUCCCCUUCGCGGACGUUAUUUCUUACAGCUCUGAGCAAAAAUUCAAAAUGAAUCA
Molecule: unclassified non-coding RNA, 187 nt
Filed under: soil metagenome
Description: partial internal transcribed spacer 1
Source: RNAcentral